RNAcentral lists this ribosomal RNA (502 nucleotides) under uncultured Desulfobulbus sp. RNAcentral describes it as "bacterial SSU rRNA". It matches the Rfam family "Bacterial small subunit ribosomal RNA", at positions 887 to 1382 of the family's 1533-position model. The record is from RNAcentral. Lineage: Bacteria; Pseudomonadati; Thermodesulfobacteriota; Desulfobulbia; Desulfobulbales; Desulfobulbaceae.
GCCCGCUCAGAAACUUAAAGGAAUUGACGGGGGCCCCGCACAAGCGGUGGAGUAUGUGGUUUAAUUCGAUGCAACGCGAAGAACCUUACCUGGUCUUGACAUCCCGGAGACCCUUAGGAAACUAGGGGGUGCUUCCAUCUGGAAGAAUCUGGAGACAGGUGCUGCAUGGCUGUCGUCAGCUCGUGUCGUGAGAUGUUGGGUUAAGUCCCGCAACGAGCGCAACCCUUGCCUUUAGUUGCCAGCAGUUCGGCUGGGCACUCUAAAGGGACUGCCGGUGUUAAACCGGAGGAAGGUGGGGAUGACGUCAAGUCCUCAUGGCCUUUAUGACCAGGGCUACACACGUACUACAAUGGCCGAUACAAAGGGCAGCGACACUGCGAAGUGAAGCCAAUCCCGUAAAAUCGGUCUCAGUCCGGAUUGGAGUCUGCAACUCGACUCCAUGAAGUUGGAAUCGCUAGUAAUCGUGGAUCAGCAUGCCACGGUGAAUACGUUCCCGGGCCUU